RNAcentral lists this transfer RNA (39 nucleotides) under Cardamine hirsuta (hairy bittercress). RNAcentral's name for it is "partial tRNA-His". Lineage: Eukaryota; Viridiplantae; Streptophyta; Magnoliopsida; Brassicales; Brassicaceae. The record is from RNAcentral.
GCGGAUGUAGCCAAGUGGAUUAAGGCAGUGAAUUGUGAA